RNAcentral lists this ribosomal RNA (419 nucleotides) under uncultured bacterium. Its description in RNAcentral is "partial 16S ribosomal RNA". It matches the Rfam family "Bacterial small subunit ribosomal RNA", at positions 360 to 773 of the family's 1533-position model. The record is from RNAcentral.
AAUAUUGGAAAAUGGGGGCAACCCUGAUCCAGCCAGGCCGCGUGUGAAGAAGGUCAUAGGAUUGUAAAGAACUUUAAGUUGGUAGGAAGGGCUUUAGGUCAAUACCCUGAAGUUUUGACGUUACCAACAGAAUAAGCACCGGCUAACUCUGUGCAAGAAGCCGCGGUAAUAACGAGGGUGCAAGCUUUAAUCGGAAUUACUGGGCGUAAAGAGCGCGUAGGUGGUUCAGUAAGAUGGGUGUGAAAUCCCCGGGCUUAACCUGGGAACUGCUUUCAUAACUGCUGAGCUAGAGUACGGUAGAGGGUAGUGGAAUUUCCUGUGUAGCGGUGAAAUGCGUAGAUAUAGGAAGGAACACCAGUGGCGAAGGCGACUACCUGGACUGAUACUGACACUGAGGUGCGAAAGCGUGGGGAGCAAAC